This 1026-nucleotide ribosomal RNA is filed under the name Salmonella enterica subsp. enterica serovar Anatum. RNAcentral's name for it is "bacterial LSU rRNA". It matches the Rfam family "Bacterial large subunit ribosomal RNA", at positions 454 to 1378 of the family's 2925-position model. The record is from RNAcentral. Lineage: Bacteria; Pseudomonadati; Pseudomonadota; Gammaproteobacteria; Enterobacterales; Enterobacteriaceae.
CAUCCUCCAAGGCUAAAUACUCCUGACUGACCGAUAGUGAACCAGUACCGUGAGGGAAAGGCGAAAAGAACCCCGGCGAGGGGAGUGAAAAAGAACCUGAAACCGUGUACGUACAAGCAGUGGGAGCCCCACCACCAAAGCAUUCUCUGGUGUUGAAGGCCCUGCAAAGCAGCAUCGCGGUGGCGGAGCGUCGUUUGCGACGCCCAACACACAAAACAAGCGGUGAGUGCUUUGGGGUGGGGUGACUGCGUACCUUUUGUAUAAUGGGUCAGCGACUUAUAUUCUGUAGCAAGGUUAACCGUAUAGGGGAGCCGUAGGGAAACCGAGUCUUAACCGGGCGUUAAGUUGCAGGGUAUAGACCCGAAACCCGGUGAUCUAGCCAUGGGCAGGUUGAAGGUUGGGUAACACUAACUGGAGGACCGAACCGACUAAUGUUGAAAAAUUAGCGGAUGACUUGUGGCUGGGGGUGAAAGGCCAAUCAAACCGGGAGAUAGCUGGUUCUCCCCGAAAGCUAUUUAGGUAGCGCCUCGUGAAUUCAUCUUCGGGGGUAGAGCACUGUUUCGGCUAGGGGGUCAUCCCGACUUACCAACCCGAUGCAAACUGCGAAUACCGGAGAAUGUUAUCACGGGAGACACACGGCGGGUGCUAACGUCCGUCGUGAAGAGGGAAACAACCCAGACCGCCAGCUAAGGUCCCAAAGUCAUGGUUAAGUGGGAAACGAUGUGGGAAGGCCCAGACAGCCAGGAUGUUGGCUUAGAAGCAGCCAUCAUUUAAAGAAAGCGUAAUAGCUCACUGGUCGAGUCGGCCUGCGCGGAAGAUGUAACGGGGCUAAACCAUGCACCGAAGCUGCGGCAGCGACACUGUGUGUUGUUGGGUAGGGGAGCGUUCUGUAAGCCUGUGAAGGUGGCCUGUGAGGGUUGCUGGAGGUAUCAGAAGUGCGAAUGCUGACAUAAGUAACGAUAAAGCGGGUGAAAAGCCCGCUCGCCGGAAGACCAAGGGUUCCUGUCCAACGUUAAUCGGGGCAGG